CAAGCGUUGUUCGGACUUACUGGGCGUAAAGGGCUCGUAGGUGGCCAACUAAGUCAGACGUGAAAUCCCUCGGCUUAACCGGGGAACUGCGUCUGAUACUGGAUGGCUUGAGUUUGGGAGAGGGAUGCGGAAUUCCAGGUGUAGCGGUGAAAUGCGUAGAUAUCUGGAGGAACACCGGUGGCGAAGGCGGCAUCCUGGACCAACACUGACACUGAGGAGCGAAAGCCAGGGGAGCAAACGGG
This 242-nucleotide ribosomal RNA is filed under the name uncultured bacterium. RNAcentral's name for it is "partial 16S ribosomal RNA". It matches the Rfam family "Bacterial small subunit ribosomal RNA", at positions 535 to 776 of the family's 1533-position model. The record is from RNAcentral.